Molecule: long non-coding RNA, 688 nt
Filed under: Malus domestica (apple)
Lineage: Eukaryota; Viridiplantae; Streptophyta; Magnoliopsida; Rosales; Rosaceae
Description: long non-coding RNA (MDOM_LNC004245)
Source: RNAcentral
UUUUGUUUUUUUUUUGUGAAGCCCAAUGCUUUCUUGCUUCAUGUCGGGAGGUAGAGAAAUAAUAACAAUGAGACUCAAAGUCUCAUCCCUUUGCCUGUGUCUUCUUCCCCAUUUCCCUGGACUGUUCUCAAUAUGGCACUGUUCAUUUAUUCCUUUUGUCCGUCACUUUUUGUGGCCUUUAGCUUUUCUUUUGCUUUGCCUUUUCCUUUCUUUGCUCGAAAGGUUUUCAUUUCCACUAAAAAUCUGAAUUAUUCCAAAGCCAUGUUGAAGGAAAUGUGGGUGUUGGAGCCAAGGAAGUGAAGGAGGGAGUUAACGUAGAGGGAGCGGUAACUCUUCAAUAUAACACCAUUCUUUGUAGCUCAAAUCGCAAGGUUGUCUUCAUGAAAAUUGUUCCUUAGCUUGUGAACUACAACAUAUCCAAAUUUGAGAUCCAUCGGAGUAGUACAACUCCAGAUAUUCAGGUAUGAUGAGUUACUGUUCAUCAUUUUUCUGUUAACCCGUCAGACAUAUUGUGAGCUUCGAAACUUCAUGUUCUCUUGUUCAGAUCAACAUACUUUAUUCAUCGAAGUUGUUCCUCACCUUAUGAACUACAACAUAUCCAAAUUUGAGAUCCGUCGGAGUAGUACAACUCCAGAUAUUCAGGUAUGAUGAGUGACUGUUCAUCAUUUUUCUGUUAACCCGUCAGACU